UUAAGCAUAUCAAUAAGCGGAGGAAAAGAAACCAACAGGGAUUACCUCAGUAACGGCGAGUGAAGCGGUAACAGCUCAAAUUUGAAAUCUGGCUCUUUCAGGGUCCGAAUUGUAAUUUGUAGAAGAUGCUUCGAGUGUAGCUCCGGUCUAAGUUCCUUGGAACAGGACGUCAUAGAGGGUGAGAAUCCCGUAUGUGACUGGUGGCUUUCGCUCAUGUGAAGCUCUUUCGACGAGUCGAGUUGUUUGGGAAUGCAGCUCAAAAUGGGUGGUAUAUUUCAUCUAAAGCUAAAUAUUGGCCAGAGACCGAUAGCGCACAAGUAGAGUGAUCGAAAGAUGAAAAGCACUUUGGAAAGAGAGUUAAACAGUACGUGAAAUUGUUGAAAGGGAAGCGCUUGCAACCAGACUUGCAUGCUGUUAAUCAUCAGGAGUUCUCUCCUGUGCACUUGGCAGUGUUCAGGCCAGCAUCGAUUUUGGUGGUUGGAUAAAGACCUUAGGAAUGUGGCAUCUUUCGGGGUGUGUUAUAGCCUUCGGUGCAAUGCAGCCAACUGGGAUCGAGGACCGCGCUUCGGCUAGGAUGCUGGCGUAAUGGUUGUAAGCGACCCGUCUUGAACACGGACCAAGGAGUCUAACAUCUAUGCGAGUGUUUGGGUGUCAAACCCAUGCGCGUAAUGAAAGUGAACGGAGGUGGGAACCCUUCAGGGUGCACCAUCGACCGAUCCUGAUGUCUUCGGAUGGAUUUGAGUAGGAGCAUAGCUGUUGGGACCCGAAAGAUGGUGAACUAUGCCUGAAUAGGGUGAAGCCAGAGGAAACUCUGGUGGAGGCUCGCAGCGGUUCUGACGUGCAAAUCGAUCGUCAAAUUUGGGUAUAGGGGCGAAAGACUAAUCGA
This 886-nucleotide ribosomal RNA is filed under the name Mitrula elegans. Its description in RNAcentral is "eukaryotic LSU rRNA". It matches the Rfam family "Eukaryotic large subunit ribosomal RNA", at positions 34 to 938 of the family's 3401-position model. Lineage: Eukaryota; Fungi; Ascomycota; Leotiomycetes; Helotiales; Mitrulaceae. The record is from RNAcentral.